CCUACGGGUGACAGCAGUGGGGAAUAUUGCACAAUGGGCGAAACCCUGAUCCAGCGACGCCGCGUGAGUGAAGAAGGAAUUCGUGAUGUAAAGCUCUAUCAGCAGGGAAGAAAAUGACGGUACCUGAGUAAGAAGCCCCGGCUAACUACGUUCCAGCAGCCGCGGCAAUACGGCGGGGGCAAGCGUUAUCCGGAUUUACUGGGUGUAAGGGGAGCGUAGACGGCAGUGCAAGUCUGGAGUGAAAGGCGGGGGCUCAACCCCCGGACUGCACUGGAAACUGUACGGCUUGAGUGCAGGAGAGGUAAGUGGAAUUCCUAGUGUAGCGGUGAAAUGCGUAGAUAUUAGGAGGAACACCAGUGGCGAAGGCGGCUUACUGGACUGUAACUGACGCUGAGGCUCGAAAGCGUGGGGAGCAAACAGGAUUAGAUACCCGAGUAGUC
RNAcentral lists this ribosomal RNA (440 nucleotides) under uncultured bacterium. Its description in RNAcentral is "partial 16S ribosomal RNA". It matches the Rfam family "Bacterial small subunit ribosomal RNA", at positions 338 to 795 of the family's 1533-position model. The record is from RNAcentral.